RNAcentral lists this transfer RNA (85 nucleotides) under Felis catus (domestic cat). It matches the Rfam family "tRNA". Rfam says of the family: Transfer RNA (tRNA) molecules are approximately 80 nucleotides in length. RNAcentral also lists the same sequence under 2 other names. The record is from Rfam by way of RNAcentral. Lineage: Eukaryota; Metazoa; Chordata; Mammalia; Carnivora; Felidae.
GCCUGUGUGGUUCAGUUGGUUAAACAUCUGACUUUGGUUCAGGUCAUGAUCUCACUGUUCGUGGGUUUGAGCCCUGCAUCAGGCC